This 128-nucleotide ribosomal RNA is filed under the name Enterobacter hormaechei. RNAcentral's name for it is "partial 23S ribosomal RNA". It matches the Rfam family "Bacterial large subunit ribosomal RNA", at positions 2803 to 2925 of the family's 2925-position model. The record is from RNAcentral. Lineage: Bacteria; Pseudomonadati; Pseudomonadota; Gammaproteobacteria; Enterobacterales; Enterobacteriaceae.
UAUGAGUUCUCCCUGAGACCUUGAGUCUCGUGAAGGAACGUUUAUGACUUUGACGUUGAUAGGUCGGGUUGGUAAGCGCAGCGAUGCGUUGAGCUAACCGAUACUAAUGAACCGUGAGGCUUAACCUU